CUGCUCAUGUAUACUGUAUUUGAAAGACAUGGGAACCCUGGUUGAGAAGGAGGUAACUGUUGGUAACCUAGUUGAGAAGUUGGCAAUACAGUACUGUACGCACACUGUUCCUAGAAAAUACGUGCAGCAAACCUAAAACUAAAAAUGAAAGUGCUGCGGCACUUGAAGGACUAAUUUGUUUAUUCAGAGAUAAUUAAUGUAUUUUGUACCCACACCUCUAGCAGUCUUUUCAGCUACUGAUGGAGGGAAGGGAAAAGACGGCAAGGUAGUGGGUAUGCGUGUGCAGAAUUGCUCACGGAGAAUUCUUUUCUAUACCGACGCUGACAACUUCAUCCAUCCUUUCCCUUCACUUGUCUCCUCGGUAGUUGGGGGAAGCCUGAGGGGAAAACUCGAAGCGGCCCGACCCACAGACACGCUUAGGCCUAGAACGAAGCGCCUGCGCGCCCCUCCGAGCGGCGGGGGCGCUGGGGGCCGGCCUGAGGCGGGCUCUUCGGGCGGGGACAGGGCGAGGUGCGUAGGGCGCCACGUCGGCAGGCACCGAAGAAACAGCCGCCGCCGCAGCAACGAGGCAGGGAGAGGGGCUCGGCGUUUGCUUCGGGAUCCCGGAGGCGCCUUCCUUCCGAAGCCGUCAGCCAGACUGACCCGAGCGGCCGGACGAGUGGGCCGUGAAGGUUUUCUGUAGAAAAUCACAGUGGGAAUUCCAAAUGAAGUAACAUUUAAUGUUGCCAUUUAAUUAUAAGAAAAAGGAGAAGAGAACUUGAUCUUGGCACUUUGAAGACAUAUAGCAGAGCAUUAAAAAGGUAUGUAGUUCAUGUGUGAUGUUUGUUUAAUUCUAUAAUACUGUAGAAUAUUUCUUGAAAGAUAUCAGUGGCAGUCUGUAUGUUAGCUACUUUAUUUCAAUAUGUGACUGAAUUCAGUUUUUAAAUAUACAUUUAAUGUGCAUAUAUUUCUUUUUAAAACCUGAAACAGGUAGCAUUCAAACUCUGCUUAAAUGACAGAAGCUGUGGGUUGCAGGUAAUCAGCAGUGCUAAAAACAAACACUGUGAUGCUCAAACGUCUUAAUGCUUAGAAGUAGAUACAUAUUCUACAAUAUCUCCACAUGCUGGUGAAACCAUGAUCAAUGUUAGUUUGUUGGUCAAUAAUGUCAUGAGGAAAUGUUUACUUAAAGCAAAAGUCUGAAGGGUGUUGGAUAGUAGAGGGUUAAAAAAUCAGCUUUAAGCAUCUGUUAAUUUGUGCCAUCUUGAAAGUAUACAUUUUGUUCUUCUAAAAUGGCACCUUCAGAAAGCAAUUUGAUACUAUGCCAGGCUAAGGCAAAGUGGAGAUCAAUGCUGUAACUAGCCAACUCUGUAGGAAAUAUGUGGUUGUUCUAAAUGGAAUCUAUCAGAUCUCUUGGCAAAAUUCCACAUGAUCUUGAUUGUUCUAAUUAAAAAACAGAACAUGUCAGCAAGUUGGUGUGUCCCUCAUGAACUAAAUCUGUUAUAUCAGAGUUGUGAAUGAGAUGUGAAUACAACUUUGCUUGUAAUGCUUCCACAUGGUGAGUUGGUGAGGUAUGUGUGUAUGUGGUUUCAAGCUUUUGACACUGCCUUAUAUACAGUAGUUAAAAGCAAAACCCACUGACUUCAACAGAUGUUGUAUUCAGCUGCCUUAGAACCAUGGCACAAGUAAGUCAGCCUGAGAUAAUAAAUGUAUUAAAUCACAUUAGGACA
Long non-coding RNA from Pogona vitticeps (central bearded dragon), 1706 nucleotides. The record is from Ensembl. Lineage: Eukaryota; Metazoa; Chordata; Lepidosauria; Squamata; Agamidae.